AAUCAACGCUGGCGGCGUGCCUCAGACAUGCAAGUCGAACGAUUAAAGCUCUCUUCGGAGAGUGUAUAGAGUGGCGCACGGGUGAGUAACACGUAAGUAAUCUACCUUUGAGUGGGGAAUAACAAUCGGAAACGAUUGCUAAUACCGCAUAAUGCAGCGGCAUCGCAAGAUGACAGUUGUUAAAGGAGCAAUCCGCUUAAAGAGGAGCUUGCGGCAGAUUAGCUAGUUGGUAAGGUAAUGGCUUACCAAGGCUACGAUCUGUAACCGGUCUAAGAGGACGGUCGGUCACACUGACACUGAAUGACGGGUCAGACUCCUACGGGAGGCAGCAGUCGGGAAUUUUGGGUCGAAU
This 352-nucleotide ribosomal RNA is filed under the name uncultured bacterium. Its description in RNAcentral is "bacterial SSU rRNA". It matches the Rfam family "Bacterial small subunit ribosomal RNA", at positions 32 to 372 of the family's 1533-position model. The record is from RNAcentral.